UACGAAGGGAGCUAGCGUUGUUCGGAAUCACUGGGCGUAAAGCGCGCGUAGGCGGCUUUGUAAGUUAGAGGUGAAAGCCCGGGGCUCAACCCCGGAACUGCCUUUAAAACUGCAUCGCUUGAAUCCGGGAGAGGUGAGUGGAAUUCCGAGUGUAGAGGUGAAAUUCGUAGAUAUUCGGAAGAACACCAGUGGCGAAGGCGGCUCACUGGACCGGCAUUGACGCUGAGGUGCGAAAGCGUGGGGAGCAAACAGG
Molecule: ribosomal RNA, 253 nt
Filed under: uncultured bacterium
Lineage: Bacteria
Description: partial 16S ribosomal RNA
Rfam family: Bacterial small subunit ribosomal RNA
Source: RNAcentral